GACGAACGCUGGCGGCGUGCCUAAUACAUGCAAGUUGAGCGCUGAAGGGGGGUACGUGUACCGACUGGAUGAGCAGCGAACGGGUGAGUAACGCGUGGGGAAUCUGCCGUGGAGCGGGGGACAAGAUUUGGAAACGAAUGCUAAUACCGCAUAAAAACUUUAAACACAAGUUUUAAGUUUGAAAGAUGCAAUUGCAUCACUCAAAUAGGAUCCCGCGUUGUAUUAGCUAGUUGGUGAGGUAAAGGCUCACCAAGGCGAUGAUACAUAGCCGACCUGAGAGGGUGAUCGGCCAACAUGGGACUGAGAAACCGCCCCAACCCCUAAGGGAGGCAGCCGUAGGGAAUCUUCGGACAAGGACGAAAGUCUGAACGAGCCCAGCCGGGUGAGGGAAGAAGGUUCUCGGAUCGUAAAACUCUGUUAGUAGAGAAGAAAGUUGGUGAGAGUGGAAAGCUCAUCAAGUGACGAUAACUACACAGAAAGGGACGGCUAACUACGUG
This 497-nucleotide ribosomal RNA is filed under the name uncultured bacterium. RNAcentral describes it as "partial 16S ribosomal RNA". It matches the Rfam family "Bacterial small subunit ribosomal RNA", at positions 28 to 507 of the family's 1533-position model. The record is from RNAcentral.